This 504-nucleotide ribosomal RNA is filed under the name uncultured bacterium. RNAcentral describes it as "bacterial SSU rRNA". It matches the Rfam family "Bacterial small subunit ribosomal RNA", at positions 1 to 497 of the family's 1533-position model. The record is from RNAcentral.
UUUAGAGUUUGAUCCCAUGGCUCAGGACGAACGCUGGCGGCGUGGAUUAGGCAUGCAAGUCGGACGGUAGAAUCUGCUUCGGUGGAUUUGAGAGUGGCGGACGGGUGAGUAACGCGUAGGUAAUCUGCCUAGAAGUGGGGGAUAGCCCCGGGAAACCGGGAUUAAUACCGCAUGUGGAGAGAGAUUUUUAAAGGUGGCCUCUGAUUCAAGCUACCGCUUUUAGAUGAGCCUGCGUACUAUUAGCUAGUUGGUAGGGUAAUGGCCUACCAAGGCGAUGAUAGUUAGGCGGCCUUAACGGGUGGUCGCCCACACUGGGAUUGAGAUACGGCCCAGACUCCUACGGGAGGCAGCAGUCGAGAAUAGUCGACAAUGGGGGGAACCCUGAUUGUGCGACGCCGCGUGAACGAAGAAGCAUUUCGGUGUGUAAAGUUCUUUUCUGUGAGAGCAAGUCAUGUAUGGGGAAACUUAUAUGUGGUUGAUAUUAUUACAGGAAUAAGCCACGGC